RNAcentral lists this ribosomal RNA (402 nucleotides) under uncultured bacterium. Its description in RNAcentral is "bacterial SSU rRNA". It matches the Rfam family "Bacterial small subunit ribosomal RNA", at positions 355 to 774 of the family's 1533-position model. The record is from RNAcentral.
UCGGGAAUUUUGGGCAAUGGGCGAAAGCCUGACCCAGCAACACCGCGUGAGGGAUGAAGUAUUUCGGUAUGUAAACCUCGAAAGAAUGGGAAGAAUAAAUGACGGUACCAUUUAUAAGCUCCGGCUAACUACGUGCCAGCAGCCGCGGUAAUACGUAGGGAGCAAGCGUUGUUCGGAUUUACUGGGCGUAAAGGGCGCGUAGGCGGCGCGGUAAGUCACUUGUGAAAUCUCUGAGCUUAACUCAGAACGGCCAAGUGAUACUGCUGUGCGAGAGUGCGGAAGAGGCAACCGGAAUUCUUGGCGUAGCGGUGAAAUGCGUAGAUAUCAAGAGGAACACCUGAGGCGAAGGCGGGUUGCUGGGCCGACACUGACGCUGAUGCGCGAAAGCCAGGGGAGCAAACG